RNAcentral lists this long non-coding RNA (314 nucleotides) under Equus caballus (horse). RNAcentral's name for it is "lncRNA (ENSECAG00000059806.1)". Lineage: Eukaryota; Metazoa; Chordata; Mammalia; Perissodactyla; Equidae. The record is from RNAcentral.
AAAGGAAAGAGUGGUCUGUGCUCAGACGGCACCUUCUCACCGACGCCCCGAGCACCAUGGUUAGGAUCCAGAAGGCACUUUCACAGACCACACACUGCUGGGAGAGUGCCGGCUUCACUAUCAGGCUCUGUUCUCGACAUUGUGCUGUGCACUUUGCACAGGUUAUUUCCACCCCUACCCGGCUAAGUGGCCUCGCGUCUUCACUUGUCAGCCUGCAGUCUCCUUCAAGAAAGCAAUCAGAGAAGUCGCCUUCCAACUCGAGUCAGAUCAGUUCUCUCUUCUGCUCAAAGUGCUCGGAUGACUUACAGGUUGUG